GUCAGGGGGCGCAGCGUGCUCCUGGGGGGCAGCCAGUACCACCCCCGCCUCACCUGGUCCCUAAUGUCCUCCCGCAGCUCCGUCAGGACCCGGUUGAACAGGGUCAGCUGCGUGACCAGUGCCUUGGUCUGCUCGCCUGGCCAGGAGCAAAAGAACAAGGUCAGUCCCAGGGCAGAUGCAGCUUCCCAGGGCCAUGGGCUGGGAACUGGGAGGACAAGACAAGCAUCGGCCCAUCCUCCUCCUCCCUGGUCCACACAGGAUCCCUUCCCCUGUAGUAAUCCCUUCGAUCCACCACAUCCUGAGGCCAGCAGGCACGUGGGGCACCGGGGUGGGUUGUGCAGCCCCAAACACUGCCAUUGCCCUCAUGCCAGGGAAGGAGGGGAGCAGAGCAGAGACUCACCCAGGACGGAGGCCAGCGCGCUUGCCACUGCCAAGGAGAGAGCACAUGGGUGACCCUGUACCUGCUCUGCCCAGUGCAAGGGUCAGACGUGCCAUUACCUGCACUGUGAAUGGACUCAUCUCCUUGGAAAGGGCACUCGCUCAGGGCCCCCACACGGCUCAUGGACCCCCCCAGGAUCAGCUUCAUCGACUCCACGACCCCCUGAUGUACAAGGGGAGACAUGGUCAGGUAACGCACCAGGACUGCGGAGCAGCGGGAUGAGGCCGUCAGCUCCUCCCUGCCUCAGCGCCGGCGGACCCCCAGGGCCAGCGCGCACCCGCUGCCGUCCCCAGUGCGCCCCUCGGGUGGCAGCGACUCGGUCUCCGUUUCCCUGCGAGCAUCACGGACCCACCUUUGUUGAUUUUCCCCACUACGGAGACCUCCAACCACCUCGUGUUGUCCUUCUUGGAGUAGAGGCCAAAGAGGGUCCCCCCCUGCUUGGGGGGCAGGCGGAAGGUGGACAGGAGGUAAACGUCGUUAACGGUCAGGAGCUCCAUGCGGAUCUUGUGUGUGAUGCUGGCCAUCUGCCGGGCCUCGCUCACCAGCAGCAGGUCGAUGACUGCAGGAGCCAAACGCGGGGGUCGCACCGUGACCGGGACCCGCAGCUCC
This 1048-nucleotide long non-coding RNA is filed under the name Amazona collaria (yellow-billed parrot). RNAcentral describes it as "lncRNA (ENSACOG00000016743.1)". The record is from RNAcentral. Lineage: Eukaryota; Metazoa; Chordata; Aves; Psittaciformes; Psittacidae.